GCCAGGUGCAGGGGCGCACGCCUGUAAUCCCAAAAGCUCAGGAGGCUGAGGCAGGAGGAUCAUGAGUUCAAAGCCAGCCUCAGCAAUAUGGAGGCUCUAAGCAACUCAGUGAGACCCUGUCUCUA
RNAcentral lists this small RNA (125 nucleotides) under Marmota monax (woodchuck). The record is from RNAcentral. Lineage: Eukaryota; Metazoa; Chordata; Mammalia; Rodentia; Sciuridae.